GGUGCGACCGGAUGAUGGUUCACAACGACCGUGUCCUUCGAACGGGUCGGUGGGACUUUCGUCCGUUUGUAAC
This is a non-coding RNA of Drosophila ananassae, 73 nucleotides long. Lineage: Eukaryota; Metazoa; Arthropoda; Insecta; Diptera; Drosophilidae. The record is from Rfam.